This 1601-nucleotide long non-coding RNA is filed under the name Arachis ipaensis. Its description in RNAcentral is "long non-coding RNA (AIPA_LNC001151)". The record is from RNAcentral. Lineage: Eukaryota; Viridiplantae; Streptophyta; Magnoliopsida; Fabales; Fabaceae.
CUGUACGCGCUUGAGCUGGCGGUGGCCCAUCUACUCCACUGCUUCACGUGGGAGCUUCCCGACGGGAUGAAGCCGAGCGAGAUGGACAUGAGCGACGUCUUCGGACUCACCGCUCCCAGAGCCACUCGCCUCGUCGCUGUUCCCACAAAGCGCGUGCUCUGCCCUCUCUCUUAGAAACCCAAACCAACAACCUUCUUCUCCAAACAUAACAAACACUUUCCCGCCCUUUUUUUUAUUGUAAUUUUUUUCUCUCUCUCUUUUUUUAAUCCCCGCCGAUCCCUCUCCUCCUCCACGAAACAGCGGAAGAAACAACCGUCGGAGGCUACUUUAUCCCGAAGCGGGCGCGCGUCAUGAUCAACGCGUGGGCUAUAGGAAGGGACCCGAGCAGCUGGGAGGAGCCGGAGACGUUCAGGCCCGGGCGGUUCUUGAAGGCCGGCGUUCCGGACUUCAAGGGAAGCAACUUCGAGUUCAUACCGUUCGGAUCGGGUCGAAGGUCUUGCCCGGGGAUGCAGUUGGGGCUGUACGCGCUUGAGCUGGCGGUGGCCCAUCUACUCCACUGCUUCACGUGGGAGCUUCCCGACGGGAUGAAGCCGAGCGAGAUGGACAUGAGCGACGUCUUCGGACUCACCGCUCCCAGAGCCACUCGCCUCGUCGCUGUUCCCACAAAGCGCGUGCUCUGCCCUCUCUCUUAGAAACCCAAACCAACAACCUUCUUCUCCAAACAUAACAAACACUUUCCCGCCCUUUUUUUUAUUGUAAUUUUUUUCUCUCUCUCUUUUUUUAAUCCGCCCACCCAAAAUUAUACAUAAAGAAAACGUAUCUAUAUAUGUAUGUAUCUAUGAAAAUGGAAAUAACGAACCCAACAAGGAAGUAAUGUCUAGUUUGCUGCUUCUAUUUUUUUUCCCUUUUAAUUAAUUUGUGAGAGGACACUUAAUUAGGUUAUUGAUGUGAUGUAAGGUUUGCUGCAAGCAAAAUUAUACAGUGGUAAUCGUUGACGUUAUUGUUUCCACCCGCCUCCAACUUUCGUGGCUAUUUGUCGCAAGGAAAAUGUGAAUCAAGUUCAUGCAUUAUUAGAAGGUGAAAAAACUGUGAAAGUAUGUGACAGGUUAUAAUUAAACAAUAUAGCAUAUUUGGUCCGGCAAAUCUAAGUGCAUUAGUAAUUUAGUUUGUGUUUUUAUUUCUAAUUUGAGAUUGAAACCCAGCGCGAGUUGUUGUCGUUGAAGGUUUUACUUCGUUGUCUCAAGAGUUUGUAUUAUAUAUAUGUUGCAUUGUUUGUUGUAGGUUGUAACCUGAAGGAUCCAUUGGCUCCUCAUACUUUUCCAUAUAUAAAUAAUGUGGUAGCCAUCCAUGUUUUCAAAGUUAGCGUGGACUGCGUGGUGAGGAAUUUAAUUUUGGUAGGGAAGGUGACGGAAUUGAAGUUGAUUUUUUAUGUGAUAAUCAAAAAGCAAGUAAUCAUGUGUCAACAAAACAGUUCAAAAUUAAUGAGUAUCAUCAAUUAGUAGUUGAAAAUAAUAAUAAUAAUAAUCUAAUUAAAGAUAGAUAGAGAUGCAGUGAUGCUAUUAAAGCACGAUUACCUGAUUUGAUCCAACUUCUAAUGAAAA